UGGGGAAUUUUGGACAAUGGGCGAAAGCCUGAUCCAGCCAUUCCGCGUGCAGGAUGAAGGCCCUCGGGUUGUAAACUGCUUUUGUACGGAACGAAACGGCGCUUUCCAAUACAGAGCGCUAAUGACGGUACCGUAAGAAUAAGCACCGGCUACCUACGUGCCAGCAGCCGCGGUAAUACGUAGGGUGCAAGCGUUAAUCGGAAUUACUGGGCGUAAAGCGUGCGCAGGCGGUGAUGUAAGACAGAUGUGAAAUCCCCGGGCUCAACCUGGGAACUGCAUUUGUGACUGCAUCGCUGGAGUGCGGCAGAGGGGGAUGGAAUCCCGCGUGUAGCAGUGAAAUGCGUAGAUAUGCGGAGGAACACCGAUGGCGAAGGCAAUCCCCUGGGCCUGCACUGACGCUCAUGCACGAAAGCGUGGGGAGCAAAC
This 426-nucleotide ribosomal RNA is filed under the name uncultured bacterium. Its description in RNAcentral is "bacterial SSU rRNA". It matches the Rfam family "Bacterial small subunit ribosomal RNA", at positions 355 to 773 of the family's 1533-position model. The record is from RNAcentral.